RNAcentral lists this ribosomal RNA (497 nucleotides) under uncultured bacterium. Its description in RNAcentral is "partial 16S ribosomal RNA". It matches the Rfam family "Bacterial small subunit ribosomal RNA", at positions 28 to 507 of the family's 1533-position model. The record is from RNAcentral.
GAUGAACGCUGGCGGCGUGCCUAAUACAUGCAAGUCGAGCGAACAGACGAGGAGCUUGCUCCUCUGACGUUAGCCGCGGACGGGUGAGUAACACGUGGAUACCCUACCUAUCAGACUGGGAUAACUUCGGGAAACCGGCGCUAAUACCGGAUAAUAUAUUGCACCGCAUGGUUCAAUGGUGAGAGACGGCUUUGCUGUCACUUAUAGAUGCAUACGGGCUGUAUUAGCUAGUUGGUACGGUAACGGCUUACCAAGGCGACGAUGCGUAGCCGACCGGAGAGGGUGAUCGGCCACACGGGAACGGAGACACGGUCCAGACUCCUACGGGAGGCAGCAGUAGGGAAUCGUCCGCAAUGGGCGAAAGCCUGACGGAGCAACGCCGCGUGAGUGAUGAAGGUCUUCGGAGCGUAAAACUCGGUUACUAGGGAAGAACAAAUGUGUAAGGAGCUAUGCACGGCUUGACGGUACCUAAUCAGAAAGCCACGGCUAACUACGUG